RNAcentral lists this ribosomal RNA (625 nucleotides) under Lactobacillus sp. oral taxon 461. Its description in RNAcentral is "bacterial SSU rRNA". It matches the Rfam family "Bacterial small subunit ribosomal RNA", at positions 371 to 987 of the family's 1533-position model. Lineage: Bacteria; Bacillati; Bacillota; Bacilli; Lactobacillales; Lactobacillaceae. The record is from RNAcentral.
AUGGACGCAAGUCUGAUGGAGCAACGCCGCGUGAGUGAAGAAGGUUUUCGGAUCGUAAAGCUCUGUUGUUGGUGAAGAAGGAUAGAGGUAGUAACUGGCCUUUAUUUGACGGUAAUCAACCAGAAAGUCACGGCUAACUACGUGCCAGCAGCCGCGGUAAUACGUAGGUGGCAAGCGUUGUCCGGAUUUAUUGGGCGUAAAGCGAGCGCAGGCGGAAAAAUAAGUCUAAUGUGAAAGCCCUCGGCUUAACCGAGGAAUUGCAUCGGAAACUGUUUUUCUUGAGUGCAGAAGAGGAGAGUGGAACUCCAUGUGUAGCGGUGGAAUGCGUAGAUAUAUGGAAGAACACCAGUGGCGAAGGCGGCUCUCUGGUCUGCAACUGACGCUGAGGCUCGAAAGCAUGGGUAGCGAACAGGAUUAGAUACCCUGGUAGUCCAUGCCGUAAACGAUGAGUGCUAAGUGUUGGGAGGUUUCCGCCUCUCAGUGCUGCAGCUAACGCAUUAAGCACUCCGCCUGGGGAGUACGACCGCAAGGUUGAAACUCAAAGGAAUUGACGGGGGCCCGCACAAGCGGUGGAGCAUGUGGUUUAAUUCGAAGCAACGCGAAGAACCUUACCAGGUCUUGACAU